UACGUAGGGUGCAAGCGUUGUCCGGAAUUAUUGGGCGUAAAGAGCUCGUAGGCGGUUUGUCGCGUCUGCUGUGAAAACUCGGGGCUUAACCCCGGGCCUGCAGUGGGUACGGGCAGACUAGAGGUAGGUAGGGGAGAAUGGAAUUCCCGGUGUAGCGGUGAAAUGCGCAGAUAUCGGGAGGAACACCGGUGGCGAAGGCGGUUCUCUGGGCCUUACCUGACGCUGAGGAGCGAAAGCGUGGGGAGCGAACAGG
RNAcentral lists this ribosomal RNA (253 nucleotides) under uncultured bacterium. RNAcentral describes it as "partial 16S ribosomal RNA". It matches the Rfam family "Bacterial small subunit ribosomal RNA", at positions 524 to 776 of the family's 1533-position model. The record is from RNAcentral.